This 433-nucleotide ribosomal RNA is filed under the name uncultured bacterium. Its description in RNAcentral is "partial 16S ribosomal RNA". It matches the Rfam family "Bacterial small subunit ribosomal RNA", at positions 29 to 507 of the family's 1533-position model. The record is from RNAcentral.
AACGAACGCUGGCGGCAUGCCUAACACAUGCAAGUCGAACGAGAUCUUCGGAUCUAGUGGCGCACGGGUGAGUAACGCGUGGGAAUCUGCCCCUUGCUUCGGAAUAACAGUGAGAAAUUACUGCUAAUACCGGAUGAUGUCUCCGGACCAAAGAUUUAUCGGCAAGGGAUGAGCCCGCGUAGGAUUAGGUAGUUGGUGGGGUAAUGGCCUACCAAGCCGACGAUCCUUAGCUGGUCUGAGAGGAUGAUCAGCCACACUGGGACUGAGACACGGCCCAGACUCCUACGGGAGGCAGCAGUGGGGAAUAUUGGACAAUGGGCGAAAGCCUGAUCCAGCAAUGCCGCGUGAGUGAUGAAGGCCUUAGGGUUGUAAAGCUCUUUUACCAGGGAUGAUAAUGACAGUACCUGGAGAAUAAGCUCCGGCUAACUCCGUG